GAUGAACGCUGGCGGCGUGCCUAAUACAUACAAGUCGAGCGAACAGAUGAGGAGCUUGCUCCUCUGACGUUAGCGGCGGACGGGUGAGUAACACGUGGAUAACCUACCUAUAAGACUGGGAUAACUUCGGGAAACCGGAGCUAAUACCGGAUAAUAUAUUGAACCGCAUGGUUCAAUAGUGAAAGACGGUUUUGCUGUCACUUAUAGAUGGAUCCGCGCCGCAUUAGCUAGUUGGUAAGGUAACGGCUUACCAAGGCAACGAUGCGUAGCCGACCUGAGAGGGUGAUCGGCCACACUGGAACUGAGACACGGUCCAGACUCCUACGGGAGGCAGCAGUAGGGAAUCUUCCGCAAAGGGCGAAAGCCUGACGGAGCAACGCCGCGUGAGUGAUGAAGGUCUUCGGAUCGUAAAACUCUGUUAUUAGGGAAGAACAAAUGUGUAAGUAACUAUGCACGUCUUGACGGUACCUAAUCAGAAAGCCACGGCUAACUACGUG
Molecule: ribosomal RNA, 497 nt
Filed under: uncultured bacterium
Lineage: Bacteria
Description: partial 16S ribosomal RNA
Rfam family: Bacterial small subunit ribosomal RNA
Source: RNAcentral